GCUGGAGAGGGGAAGCGGCCCCGAGGCAGGCUGGGAGAUGUAGUUCCUGACUCUCCCUGGAGCGGAAGUGACAUCGGCGGGAGGCGGAGCCGCGCUACGAAGGACCCUUGGGCGCUCCGGCUCUGCCUGGCUCGCGCGGGGCCGUUGGAGCCUCUCCCGGGACAGGAGAAGGUUUGUGCCAGAAUCCUGACUGCAAGCACUGCCAGGCAGUCCCCGGCCAGACCCAGUUACUGUGAUAACUUUCUAUCCACUUGUCAAACACUGUGAGCCAACGUGAUGACUUUCUCUAGCUCGUACUAGCCCCUUGUGGGAGACCUGGGCCCUGUUAAUACAAAUUCUACCAGAGACUCCAGGUAACUGAAAGACCUCAGGGAAAGUGCUGGGGUCUGGCAAGAAAGUGACUCUGCCCAAACAGUCCUUCCUCAUUUCUCCUCCCAUUAGCAAUUGCCAGGAGCAAAUCCAGCCAUGGGAGAGCAAAGCCCCCAGGAAUGGGACGUUCCCAGCCAGAGGGGCCAGGGAGAGAGGACAGGGGAAGGAGAGACUGAAAGGGGCAGUGGGAGAAAUGAAUUGGGGGGAGAGAUUUCCAGCUCUCUGGUCCACCCAGACACAUGUAUUGCUGCAUCCCUGGGCAGAACCACUUUCCAGUGAACAAAACAAAGAUCAGAGAGAGGAAAAGCCAGUUCCUGAUUCCAUAUUCCCCUGCUGGGCUGUGGCUGCGGUGGGGUCAGUGUCCGAGGGAAUCCUCCACAGUGACUCCUUUGGUUCUGCUCUUUUCUAGCCUUGUGUUCAGAGACUUUGUUAUGGGGUGAGGGGAGGGAGAAGGGAGAUUAAAAAUGUCUCUGUGGGCUUAGCCUGGCAGCAGGGGCCAGGUCUACAGUGUAAUAACAUGCUUGUUCUCUUUCCCAGCAUGGCAGAAUCUAGGAUGUCUGUCUGCAGGGAAGGGCCUGGGAGAAUCAUCUUGUGAAAUUAACUAAAGCCUGUUCUGAAACCCCCACAACUGCCCUUCUCCCCCAGACAGGCUGGAGAAUGACGUCCAUGUUUCGCUCUAGCUCAUCCCAUCCUCCCAUGGGAGAGGGAAGAGAAAUGGGUGCAGAGGAGCCUGUUAAGAGGCCGGUGACCUUUGAGGAGGUGGCUGUGUAUUUCACCA
Molecule: long non-coding RNA, 1147 nt
Organism: Gopherus evgoodei (Goodes thornscrub tortoise)
Lineage: Eukaryota; Metazoa; Chordata; Testudines; Testudinidae
Exons: 4
Source: RefSeq, a predicted model, not a curated record